GCAUUUGAUAUGUAAAACGACUAACUUAUUACUUAAUAUUAAUCCAAGCACCAUGCAAUAAAAAAAACUAAAAACAAAGAAGAAAAAUAUCUUGAUUUUUGAAAAAUUAAAAUCGAAAACAGAAAAUAUUUUUGGGAUUUUUUUGAAAUUUGUUUGAAAAAUGAAUAAAAGUAAAAUAAAAAAAAUAAACACACAUAAAAACUUAUGUGCCUUCCCCCCCC
This 221-nucleotide long non-coding RNA is filed under the name Gossypium raimondii (Peruvian cotton). RNAcentral describes it as "long non-coding RNA (GRAI_LNC011120)". Lineage: Eukaryota; Viridiplantae; Streptophyta; Magnoliopsida; Malvales; Malvaceae. The record is from RNAcentral.